This is a small nuclear RNA of Aotus nancymaae (Ma's night monkey), 134 nucleotides long. NCBI's taxonomy places the organism in Eukaryota, Metazoa, Chordata, Mammalia, Primates, Aotidae. The record is from Ensembl.
AAAAAGGGCUUCUGUCGUGAGUGGCACACACAGAGCAACUCGAUUGCUCUUCGUGCGGAAUUGACAUCAAGAGAUUUCAGAAGCAUAAUUUUUUGGUAUUUGGGCAGCUGGUGAUCAUUGUUUCCAGCACCCUU